RNAcentral lists this ribosomal RNA (465 nucleotides) under uncultured bacterium. Its description in RNAcentral is "bacterial SSU rRNA". It matches the Rfam family "Bacterial small subunit ribosomal RNA", at positions 338 to 795 of the family's 1533-position model. The record is from RNAcentral.
CCUACGGGAGGCAGCAGUGGGGAAUAUUGCACAAUGGGCGCAAGCCUGAUGCAGCCAUGCCGCGUGUGUGAAGAAGGCCUUCGGGCUGUAAAGCACUUUCAGCGGGGAGAUAGGCGGUGAGGUUAAUAACCUCACCGAUUGACGUUACCCGCGGAAGAAGCACCGGCUAACUCCGUGCCAGCAGCCGCGGUAAUACGGAGGGUGCAAGCGUUAAUCGGAAUUACUGGGCGUAAAGCGCACGCAGGCGGUCUGUCAAGUCGGAUGUGAAAUCCCCGGGCUCAACCUGGGAACUGCAUUCGAAACUGGCAGGCUAGAGUCUUGUAGAGGGGGGUAGAAUUCCAGGUGUAGCGGUGAAAUGCGUAGAGAUCUGGAGGAAUACCGGUGGCGAAGGCGGCCCCCUGGACAAAGACUGACGCUCAGGUGCGAAAGCGUGGGGAGCAAACAGGAUUAGAUACCCGCGUAGUC